CGUGCACCAGCGGGGUCCCUCAGCCUGGCCUGUGGGAUUGGGCUGAAACCAGCUCUUCGACAUCCCCCAAAGGGUCCUGGAUUGCAAAAGGGCACAGGCCAGGCCGAGGGACCCCACUGGUGCACA
This 126-nucleotide microRNA precursor is filed under the name Myotis brandtii (Brandt's bat). RNAcentral describes it as "mir-9193 microRNA precursor family". It matches the Rfam family "mir-9193 microRNA precursor family". Lineage: Eukaryota; Metazoa; Chordata; Mammalia; Chiroptera; Vespertilionidae. The record is from Rfam by way of RNAcentral.